Molecule: ribosomal RNA, 207 nt
Filed under: uncultured bacterium
Lineage: Bacteria
Description: partial 16S ribosomal RNA
Rfam family: Bacterial small subunit ribosomal RNA
Source: RNAcentral
CGUGUAGGCGGUCCGCUAAGUCUGAUGUGAAAGCCCGGGGCUCACCCCCGGAAGUGCAUUGGAAACUGGCGGACUCGAGUCCCGGAGAGGAGAGUGGAAUUCCUGGUGUAGCGGUGAAAUGCGUAGAUAUCAGGAGGAACACCGGUGGCGAAGGCGGCUCUCUGGACGGUGACUGACGCUGAGACGCAAAAGCGUGGGGAGCAAACA